Molecule: long non-coding RNA, 237 nt
Organism: Arabidopsis thaliana (thale cress)
Lineage: Eukaryota; Viridiplantae; Streptophyta; Magnoliopsida; Brassicales; Brassicaceae
Product: other RNA
Exons: 1
Source: RefSeq
UAUAUUGCCUCCACCGUCACCAACCGCGGAUUCUCUCAUUUCGGUGAACAUGUCAAACAUCAACCAAUUAGCAAUAAUUAAUCAUCUCAUGUGGAGCCAAUUAAUAAAUAUCAAUAAUCUCAUGUGGAGCCAAUUAUGUUUUUCUAGAUUCUCUAUUUUAGUCUUUAGGUAUAACAUAUAUGUGUACAUGUCCAUCGAGAUCAUUCUCCUUAAAGUCUUCCUAUCUCCUUAAAGUCU